Molecule: ribosomal RNA, 253 nt
Filed under: uncultured bacterium
Lineage: Bacteria
Description: partial 16S ribosomal RNA
Rfam family: Bacterial small subunit ribosomal RNA
Source: RNAcentral
UACGAAGGGGGCUAGCGUCGUUCGGAAUCACUGGGCGUAAAGGGCGCGUAGGCGGCUUUAUAAGUCGGGGGUGAAAGCCUGUGGCUCAACCACAGAAUUGCCUUCGAUACUGUAGAGCUUGAGACCGGAAGAGGUAAGUGGAACUGCGAGUGUAGAGGUGAAAUUCGUAGAUAUUCGCAAGAACACCAGUGGCGAAGGCGGCUUACUGGUCCGGUUCUGACGCUGAGGCGCGAAAGCGUGGGGAGCAAACAGG